GCAAGAUUCCGUCUCGGAAAAAAAAAAAAAAAACAAAAACAAAAUAAAAUAAAAAAUAAAAAAAGACCUGGAAGUAUCUCUGCCCGGUGGUGUCUCUGAUCCUGCUUCUCCUGGUUGUUCUCCUCAGUGUGCUUCUGUCCAGAGGUAAGGCGGCUGAAUCAGGGGGACCAGGUGGCCCCGGGACAGCAGCCAUGAGGGCUCCCAACCUGUAGGGUGGGUCGGAUUCGGAAACGCUGGGAUAGGGGUGGAGCCGGAGGGGCUGCUGGUCGUGUCCCUGGGGGUGACCAUGGUGACACAGGAGGGAGCUGACCUCCUCACCAGCCUCAGAGGGAGGCAUGCGGGGGUGUGUAUGAACUGAAGGAGCAGAAUCAUUAGCGAGCAGGUUUGAGUCAUUGGUGAGCACCUCCCCUAAGCCCAGCCCUGAGCUGGGAUUAGAACCUCCAGGCUGCCUGCAUUCCCUAAACAGUCCAGACACACUGGAAUGAAAUUCCCUCCUUACUACUCACUAGCUGGUUGCUUUUAGACAAGAAACUUUAUGUCCCUGGGCCUGGGUUUUCUCAUCCGCAAAAUGAGUGGAACAUUUCAGAGCUCCAAAGUGCCUUGCCCUGGGGCUGGAAGAAAGUCUUGGACUCUGGGAGUUGGGGGAACACAGAGAAACCCCAGGGAGGUUCUUUGAGUGAGGGGAGCGUCUAGAACAUGCUGCUGGCGUCUCUCCCCAGUCUUGAGGAUGACGAAGGAUGUGCGGGAUGAAAAAGUGACACCGGGGCUGGCAGACACCGGACAUGACCGGGACUUCAUUCGGGGUGAAAUGUUCAGGCAAAUAAAGGUUGUCCAGGCACGCAAUGAGUUUUGCUCUUGGUGCCCGGGCUGGAGUACAA
This 878-nucleotide long non-coding RNA is filed under the name Homo sapiens (human). RNAcentral describes it as "HSALNT0396340". Lineage: Eukaryota; Metazoa; Chordata; Mammalia; Primates; Hominidae. The record is from RNAcentral.